Molecule: ribosomal RNA, 257 nt
Filed under: uncultured bacterium
Lineage: Bacteria
Description: partial 16S ribosomal RNA
Rfam family: Bacterial small subunit ribosomal RNA
Source: RNAcentral
AAAGUCCUACGGGAGGCAGCAGUGAGGAAUAUUGGUCAAUGGUCGGGAGACUGAACCAGCCACGCCGCGUGAGGGAGGAAGGUACAGAGUAUCGUAAACCUCUUUUGUCAGGGAACAAAGACUGGGACGCGUCCCCGGAUGAGUGUACCUGAAGAAAAAGCAUCGGCUAACUCCGUGCCAGCAGCCGCGGGAAUACGGAGGAUGCGAGCGUUAUCCGGAUUUAUUGGGGUUAAAGGGUGCGCAGGCGGACUGUUAAG